UACGGAAGGUCCGGGCGUUAUCCGGAUUUAUUGGGUUUAAAGGGAGCGUAGGCCGGAGAUUAAGCGUGUUGUGAAAUGUAGAUGCUCAACAUCUGAACUGCAGCGCGAACUGUUUUCCUUGAGUACGCAUAAAGUGGGCGGAAUUCGUGGUGUAGCGGUGAAAUGCUUAGAUAUCACGAAGAACUCCGAUUGCGAAGGCAGCUCACUGGGGCGCAACUGACGCUGAAGCUCGAAAGCGCGGGUAUCGAACAGG
Molecule: ribosomal RNA, 253 nt
Filed under: Segatella copri DSM 18205
Lineage: Bacteria; Pseudomonadati; Bacteroidota; Bacteroidia; Bacteroidales; Prevotellaceae
Description: Prevotella copri DSM 18205 partial 16S ribosomal RNA
Rfam family: Bacterial small subunit ribosomal RNA
Source: RNAcentral